This is a long non-coding RNA of Armigeres subalbatus, 845 nucleotides long. RefSeq lists it as uncharacterized. The record is from RefSeq and is a predicted model, not a curated record. Lineage: Eukaryota; Metazoa; Arthropoda; Insecta; Diptera; Culicidae. The transcript is spliced from 3 exons.
GCGUGUAUGUUUUGUUUACGGUCAGUGAAAAAGCCGAAAUUGUCGACUGCUAAGGUGCAGAAAGUGUCGGAAGCGCAGGAAGUGUAUGUUUCGUUGCUGUUGGAUGCGGAUAAACGGUGGAUCAUUGGCCACUGUGCCGUGUAAUUAUGUCGAAUGUGAAAGAUCCCAGCGACCAAUUCAGUCUGGCGAGGCGUGUGCCAAACCGCUGCCAAAUCAGUCUAAUAAACACACCACAUUGAUUCCAGUCGUGCAACAACGGAAGGUCCCAGAUAUACACCAGUCUGUCAAACUUCGUCCUUCGUUUGAAGCCAAGACAUUAACACAUCUGCUUCAUCGCCAGUGCCAGCCGAACUGAAGAAGACACUGAUUAGAGAAUAAUACCAGAUAAAGACUUGGCUUGAGUUUGUUAGAAAUCAACAUCGAAAUGCAUGUAGUUCUAUAGCGUGUAGUGUAGUUCAUGUUAUUGACGGGGAGUAAUCCCCUCCCAGGAUCUGCAGCACUACAUUGGCGCAAACAAGUAGAACUGUUCACCACCGAGGGUGCUGUGCAAUAAUCUCGUCCGCGUUCAGAUAGACCAGUAGAAUCACAAGGUAGAUAUCUCCAGAAACAUGUAGUGGAAAUUAGAUCGGCGUCAGUGGCGUGAUUUUCUUCAUUCGUAGAAAGUCAACCUGACAUCAAUUCAGGAAAAUAUGAAAUCCAUUUAAAAUUCGCAAAUUGCAAAUAGCAUUUGCUAAGACAAAAGAUUAUUAUAUUAUCUAUGUGCUCAGUUUAAAAUCAGUUUAAAAUAAAUUAAAAUUUAAUUAGAGAAUUGAAAAAAUAAUUAAAAUACCAUUAAAACUAAAUUU